UAAGGAAUAUUGCUCAAUGGGAGAAAUCCUGAAGCAGCAACGCCGCGUGGAGGAUGAAAUACUUUAGUAUGUAAACUCCUGUAAGAGGGGAAAAAUAUACAGUUCUGCUGUAUUGAUUGUACCCUCAGAGUAAGCACCGGCUAACUACGUGCCAGCAGCCGCGGUAAUACGUAGGGUGCUAGAGUUGUCCGGAUUUACUGGGUGUAAAGGGUGCUCAGGUGGGUUUGUAAGUCAGAGGUGAAAUCCCAAA
RNAcentral lists this ribosomal RNA (250 nucleotides) under uncultured bacterium. RNAcentral's name for it is "partial 16S ribosomal RNA". It matches the Rfam family "Bacterial small subunit ribosomal RNA", at positions 355 to 606 of the family's 1533-position model. The record is from RNAcentral.